RNAcentral lists this ribosomal RNA (253 nucleotides) under uncultured bacterium. Its description in RNAcentral is "partial 16S ribosomal RNA". It matches the Rfam family "Bacterial small subunit ribosomal RNA", at positions 524 to 776 of the family's 1533-position model. The record is from RNAcentral.
UACGUAGGGUGCGAGCGUUGUCCGGAUUUAUUGGGCGUAAAGAGCUCGUAGGCGGCUUGUCGCGUCGAAUGUGAAAACUCGGGGCUCAACUCCGAGCUUGCAUUCGAUACGGGCAGGCUAGAGUUCGGUAGGGGAGACUGGAAUUCCUGGUGUAGCGGUGAAAUGCGCAGAUAUCAGGAGGAACACCGGUGGCGAAGGCGGGUCUCUGGGCCGAUACUGACGCUGAGGAGCGAAAGCGUGGGGAGCGAACAGG